Molecule: long non-coding RNA, 840 nt
Filed under: Homo sapiens (human)
Lineage: Eukaryota; Metazoa; Chordata; Mammalia; Primates; Hominidae
Description: HSALNT0389925
Source: RNAcentral
GAGUCCCCGCUGCGGUCCAGCUCUGCUCGCAGCGGCCGGCCGAAGCUGGGCUGGGGCUCCCGGUCUGGACCAUCCGGGGGUCAAGACAGUGGUCAGGGGGAAAUGCGCGUGGGCGUCACUAGCGGUCUGUGGAAGGGAGUUGGAGGAGAGUGGUCCGAGCUCUUUUGAGGAAAGCCAUCAGGUCAUCACUGUAAAGACUGGAGCGUCCCGCGGCCUGGCUGGGUCCCAAGCGAAGGCGGAGCCGACGAGGCCCCGCCGCCCCCCACCCCCUUCCCGGGGCCACAGAGAGAAGUCGGGUCGCGAGACCGCGCCGAGGGGGCUGCCGCCCUGGGAGUCACAGCCCCGUCCGCGCGCCUUGCCCUGUCGGCGGGGCACUGGGGGCAAACCACUUAACCUCCGGACUCUGUUUCCCCAGCUGGAAAGCAGAAACACCAAUGCCUACCUCGUGGGGUGGAGGGAGCAGAAACGGAGCCGAGGAAGGGACCGUGGCUCGGUAGUCUGCAAUAGAGGCAAGAACCAAGCUGUCUGCUGCAGCAGUUGAGAAGAGCCUCGGCCCUGGCACUGUGGCUCAUGCCUGUAAUCCCAACACUUUGGGAGGCCGAAAUGGGAGGAUCACUUGAGCCCAGGAGUUCGAGACCAGCCUUGACAACAAAGUGAGAGCCCCAUCUCUACAAAAAAAAAAAAAAAAAAAAAACCAGAAAAUCUACCGGGCGUGGUGGAGCAGGCUUGUAGUCCCAGUGACUGGGGAGACUGAGCUUGGGGGACUACUUGAGCCCUGGGAGGACCACUUGAGCCCUGGGAAAACAGCUUGAGCCCCAGGAGGCCAAAGUGGCAAUGAGC